Cinara cedri is the source of this 947-nucleotide non-coding RNA. The record is from the annotation of a GenBank genome assembly. NCBI's taxonomy places the organism in Eukaryota, Metazoa, Arthropoda, Insecta, Hemiptera, Aphididae.
CACGACACGACAAAUGGGUCUAAGCGACACAAUUCAUUUAGUUUUCGGGAGAGUUAAAAAACAUGUAUUUGUGAUUUUAACAUUUUUUUUUUUUUUUUAAGUGGGAAAUAAUUUUUUUUUCGUUUGGACUGGGGAAUAUUUACAUUGAAUACUUUUUUUUUAGCUUGUACGUUCUUAAUGUAGAUACGCAUUGUUGAUUAGCUUUUAUUGUCGUUUAGACCCUAUAAUUGAGAAGACAAAAUAAAAAGUAUCGUUUGUAUCCCCGACUUAAAAUUAAAAUUAUUCGUUAAAUAAUGGUCACAGUUCUUUUUGCGCACGUGUGAUGUAAUGGACGAAACAUGUAUUUCUUCAUCCAAUAGUGAAGUCAUGUAACUUAGAAACUUGCCGUGUCACCAUCGAUAUUUCAGCAGAUCGAGCUACUCGGUAAGGAACGGGCAUUUUGUUUUAAUGGUUUUAACGAUUAAAAUACAUUUUUAUCCCUCAAAAAUUGGCCGUGACUCAGCCUUUUAAAGUUCGUGAUUCGUACCUUUAUACCUACGACUUUUUUCCAAGUAGUCAUAUUUCUACGUGCUUUUUUAAACGUCUUCAGUUUUGAAUCAAACUUUUGACUACUAUAUCCUGAAAAACUUACAAGAUAGAAAUAAAAUUAUAUCGACCAAAUAGCAGUAUUAGAACUUGAUUUUAGAAACAGGCGUGUUGUAUCUGAGAAAAUUUGAGUUUAGUUUACAAUGUUUACAACGUUUGAAAAUUUGUUGGAAUCGUAUUGUUUGGCGCCCGAUAAAUAUUAUUGGAUACAUGAAAUAAGAAUAAUACGUUUAGGACGCAGCUGCUGCGGUCGUUUUAAGGUACUGCAACAACAACCCGGUAAACAAAUCGAAUAAUCUUUAUACAAUCCACUGCGGCAGACGCGUAUAAACCAUUAAUUAGAAUAAUAUAAUAUUACGAAG